CUGAAUAGAUAAAGCAUCAUUGAUUACCAUAAAAGGUAGAGGCAAGCUGUUACGGAAUCUGAAUUGUGUAGGGACACCUGAGAUUAAUCAGUAAACCAUGAACCUGAAGAUCAAUGAUGCCCUAGGGUGUGCAAGAGAAGGAGAAAGAGAGGAGGAAAAUGGUGGUAGGGUUUUUGGGAGAAAGAGCUGUUUCAUUCACUGUAUCAAUUUCUUGACCUAAUUACAUUGUAUAUAUGUACCUAUACAAAAGGUUCAAGCCUGACGCUCAACAAAACUCGCAAUGGCUUGGCUGAUGCGAUGCACUCUCC
Molecule: long non-coding RNA, 308 nt
Filed under: Elaeis guineensis (African oil palm)
Lineage: Eukaryota; Viridiplantae; Streptophyta; Magnoliopsida; Arecales; Arecaceae
Description: long non-coding RNA (EGUI_LNC073426)
Source: RNAcentral